RNAcentral lists this ribosomal RNA (438 nucleotides) under Triticum aestivum (bread wheat). RNAcentral describes it as "partial small subunit ribosomal RNA". The record is from RNAcentral. Lineage: Eukaryota; Viridiplantae; Streptophyta; Magnoliopsida; Poales; Poaceae.
AUGCUUCCCCACCUUCCAAACCCUCAAAAUUGUCCUUAUCUUGGAAAAUCCCCAUGGAUCCGGAGCUUGUCAUCCGCUCCCAGAACCCCCCGUGCACACGGGCCCUUGAGACCCCGUGCACACGGGACCCCGUCCACACGGGCCUCACUUACCCCAUGCGCACGGACCAUCCAGGAACUUUCGGCCAUCUUUUGUUUGCACCAUUUUGCUUCCAUACCAACACUCGUCUUCUUCCGCACUAUUUCUCGUGGUUGUUUGAGUUUCGGACCGUGGUUUCUCUUGUGUCCUAAGGUGUUUCGGCUACUUAGGCGCAUUUGGACAUCAUCAUUGCCGCCACUCGAUCAUCAACUCGGACACCACACCGGCUUCAACGACUUCAUUCUUACCAUACGAUCGGAUGGUAACCACAACGACAUCUCACCCUUGCUUUUGCAUUGA